This 264-nucleotide unclassified non-coding RNA is filed under the name plant metagenome. Its description in RNAcentral is "partial contains 5.8S ribosomal RNA, internal transcribed spacer 2, and large subunit ribosomal RNA". The stretch from base 1 to 116 matches the Rfam family "5.8S ribosomal RNA", at positions 50 to 154 of the family's 154-position model. The record is from RNAcentral.
GAAAGGCGAAACGUAAUGUGAAUCGCAACUAACAGUGAAUCAUCGAAUCUUUGAACGCAGGCCGCACCUUGCAAUAUCACUUCGUGUUGUUACAAGGUAUCUACGUAUGAGUGCCAGCCCAAUAUCAUUUAUUGGUUCAAGAAAAUGAUUAUUUUUUUUAAUAUAAAAAUAAUUCAAAUUCUUGGAUACAUAUUUUAUGGAAAAAAAACAUAAAUUUUUUUAUGUCUGGCCUCACAUGUGGAAGGUUACCCGCUGGAUUUAAGC